UAUUUGUAAACUAAACAACUUCAGAAUUCAGAAUCCUGUCCGCCUUCCACUCUCCCAAGAACCCUAAGCUUUGAAUCAUGUCUGCCUCCUCCCACUAAACUGAAUCCCGUCCGCCUCCACCCUCUCCGACGUCCGACGCCAUCCACCGCCCUCCGUCCGCCGCCCUACGUUAGCGCGACCAGGCCGAAGCGCGACUGGCCUAAGCGCAAUUGCCCUCAGCGUGACCAGGCCGCUCUGGCCUCCAGUCGAGGCGGCUCCACCAGUCCGCCGAGCUCCAGCAACCGGCAGUCCAGGUAUGGUUUGAGCUCUAUUGAUUAACCUCUUGCUUUAUCUUGCAAAUUAGAAAUUGCUUAUGAGUUAUGAGUUAUGAGAAAUUGCUUAUGAGUUAUGAUUGAUGAUUUAGAGAAAUAAUUUAUUAACCCCUCAUUGCUGAUAACUGCUGUGAAAUAAUUGUUGUGACGUAGGCAUUAAUUUGAUUCGAUAACUAAGUAUGACUUUUUAAUUUGUUUUGAUUCAAAUUUGAUUCGUGGAGUGUGACGUAGACAUUAAUUUGAUUCCAUAAGUGACAUUUGAAUUAGUUCUUCUGUUCUUGAAUAAUUGAUUAACCUCUCAUUUAUUUCAAUGAAAUACUAUAUCUGCUGCCUGCUUGGAAUUAGUUCUGAUUCUUCAGAAAUAAUUGUGGUAUCAUAUAUUGGAUUUGUUCUUAAUUUAUUGAAAUACUUGCUAAUUGCUAGAUCUGCUGGAAUUGUACUUAUCUGUUGGACUUGUAUCUUAAUUUUUGUAGAUUAAAUGGAAGCUUCACAUGAUCAUACUCAACAAGCUUCAAAUGCACCCGUGGAAAGUUGUACCGGCCCCUCUAGCUUGAGAGCUUGAUUUAUAUUGUUCAUGUUUUUUAACUUAUGAAUUACUAGAUAUUUGCUCGUGUUGAACUUAUAUUUUUAUUCAUAUUAUUGAACUUGUGUUUUUAUUCAUGUUGGUGAACUUGGUAUGUUGACAGGUUGAAUUUAGUUGGCUAGUUAAUUUGAGUUAUUAUGCAUCGUUGUUGUGUC
RNAcentral lists this long non-coding RNA (1049 nucleotides) under Salvia miltiorrhiza (redroot sage). RNAcentral describes it as "long non-coding RNA (SMIL_LNC007996)". Lineage: Eukaryota; Viridiplantae; Streptophyta; Magnoliopsida; Lamiales; Lamiaceae. The record is from RNAcentral.